CCUACGGGUGGCAGCAGUGAGGAAUAUUGGUCAAUGGCCGGAAGGCUGAACCAGCCAAGUCGCGUGAGGGACGACUGCCCUAUGGGUUGUAAACCUCUUUUAUAAGGGAAGAAGAUAUGCUACGUGUAGCAUUUUGCCUGUACCUUAUGAUUAAGCAUCGGCUAACUCCGUGCCAGCAGCCGCAGUAAUACGGAGGUGGCGAGCGUUAUCCGGAUUUAUUGGGUUUAAAGGGUGCGUAGGCGGUUUCUUAAGUUGGAGGUAAAACGUCGGGGCUAAACCUUGAAUUGCCAUUGAGACUGUUAGACUCGAGUUCAGGCGAGGUAGGCGGAAUGCGUUGGGUAGCGGUGAAAUGCAUAGAUAUAA
This 363-nucleotide ribosomal RNA is filed under the name uncultured bacterium. Its description in RNAcentral is "partial 16S ribosomal RNA". It matches the Rfam family "Bacterial small subunit ribosomal RNA", at positions 338 to 699 of the family's 1533-position model. The record is from RNAcentral.